This 430-nucleotide ribosomal RNA is filed under the name uncultured archaeon. RNAcentral's name for it is "bacterial SSU rRNA". It matches the Rfam family "Archaeal small subunit ribosomal RNA", at positions 474 to 903 of the family's 1478-position model. The record is from RNAcentral.
UACCAGCUCUCCGAGUGGUAGGGAUGAUUAUUGGGCUUAAAGCGUCCGUAGCCGGCUUAGCAAGUCUCCUGUUAAAUUCAGCGACCUAAUCGUUGAGCCGCGGGAGAUACUACUAGGCUAGGAGGCGGGAGAGGUCGACGGUACUUCCGGGGUAGGGGUGAAAUCCUAUAAUCCCGGGAGGACCACCAGUGGCGAAGGCUGUUGACUAGAACGCGCUCGACGGUGAGGGACGAAAGCUGGGGGAGCGAACCGGAUUAGAUACCCGGGUAGUCCCAGCUGUAAACGAUGCGAGCUAGGUGUUGGGGUGGCUACGUGCCACUUCAGUGCCGCAGGGAAGCCAUUAAGCUCGCCGCCUGGGGAGUACGGCCGCAAGGCUGAAACUUAAAGGAAUUGGCGGGGGAGCGACCACAAGGCGUGAAGCUUGCGGUUC